UACAGAGGUCCCAAGCGUUGUUCGGAUUCACUGGGCGUAAAGGGUGCGUAGGUGGUGAGGUAAGUCGGAUGUGAAAGCUCGGAGCUCAACUCCGAAAUGGCAUUGGAAACUACCUUGCUCGAGGGUUGGAGGGGGGACUGGAAUGCUUGGUGUAGCAGUGAAAUGCGUAGAUAUCAAGCGGAACACCAGUGGCGAAGGCGAGUCCCUGGACAACUCCUGACACUGAGGCACGAAAGCUAGGGGAGCAAACAGG
Molecule: ribosomal RNA, 253 nt
Filed under: uncultured bacterium
Lineage: Bacteria
Description: partial 16S ribosomal RNA
Rfam family: Bacterial small subunit ribosomal RNA
Source: RNAcentral